AUACGUAGGUGACAAGCGUUAUCCGGAUUUACUGGGCGUAAAGGGCGUGUAGGCGGUCUUGCAAGUCAGAAGUGAAAUUCCUGAGCUCAACUCGGGCGCUGCUUCUGAAACUGCAGGACUUGAGUGCUGGAGGGGAUAGCGGAAUUCCAAGUGUAGCUGUGAAAUGCGUAGAGAUGUGGAGGAACACCGAUGGCGAAGGCAGCCCCCUGGGCCAAUACUGACGCUCAGGCACGAAAGCGUGGGGAGCAAACAGGAUUAGAUACCCUGGUAGUCCACGCCCUAAACGAUGAUCACUGGGUGUUGGGGAAGCGAUUCCUUGGUACCGUAGCUAACGCGUGAAGUGAUCCGCCUGGGGAGUACGGUCGCAAGAUUAAAACUCAAAUGAAUUGACGGGG
This 395-nucleotide ribosomal RNA is filed under the name uncultured bacterium. Its description in RNAcentral is "partial 16S ribosomal RNA". It matches the Rfam family "Bacterial small subunit ribosomal RNA", at positions 523 to 918 of the family's 1533-position model. The record is from RNAcentral.